Molecule: non-coding RNA, 3712 nt
Organism: Aegilops tauschii subsp. strangulata
Lineage: Eukaryota; Viridiplantae; Streptophyta; Magnoliopsida; Poales; Poaceae
Source: RefSeq, a predicted model, not a curated record
CCAACCCAAUCGUCCAAAUCCCCAAUCCCUUUCUACCUCUUUCUCUUUCUUCCCGUGCAAACUCAGUCCUCAUUUCUCUACCUCCUACAGAAACUAGCAAAUCAGGCUGCCGGGGAGGCGGGGAGACAUUGAGCAGCGUGCGAGCGCAGCAAGCCACAGCCAGGGCUUGCCGACCGACGGCAGCCGCGUCGCCCCUUGCUCAGCCAGUCAGCCCGCAACGCUCGCGAGCCGCAGAGGGCGCGAGCAACCCAGCAGGUUCAGAUAACCGCUGUUGCUUCAUGUAGAGGUAGAUCUCAUCAAUUAGCUGGACCUCCGCAUAGCAGUUUCCAGUUCGUGGUGGAUCCGUAAACCACCUGCAUACAGGGCCAAGUCUGAAGUAACUAGUCCGUGUUCAUUUUUCCAUCGGAGAAAGCAAUAGCAUGGACAAUAUAAGUGCGGCGCCAAGGGUUCUCUCAUUCCAGCUGUUAAAUGAAAUCACAAAUGGUUUCUCCAAGGACAUGAAAAUUGGCGCGGGUUCAUAUGGAAAUGUUUAUAAGGGAGAGCAUAAAAAUGGGGAAAUGAUUGCUGUGAAGGUACUUCAUUCCAUUCCAGGACUUGAUAAUGAGCAAUUUGCAAAGGAGUAUCAGAACCUUGCAAGUCUGCAACACGAAAACAUUGUGCAGUUAGUUGGUUAUAGCCAUGAAACUCUGGGAGAAUUCAGACAUCACGAAGGUAGAAUGAUUUUAGUUGAGACGAUAAAGAGAGCGCUUUGCUUCGAGUAUAUGCAAAACGGGAACCUUGAAAGGUUUCUUGCUGAUGAAUCUAAUGGACAUGAUUGGCACACACAUUAUGCCAUAAUCAAGGGGAUUUGUCAGGGUUUGAGAUACCUUCAUGAGGAAUUGGUUCCUCCUAUGUAUCAUCUGGAUUUAAAACCAGCCAAUAUACUGCUAGAUAAAAAGAUGGUGCCCAAAAUCGCAGAUUUUGGUUUGUCAAGGAUCUUUGAAGGAGAACAAACACAAAUUACAAAAGUGCUAUUGGAACACAUGGGUACGUACCGCCUGAAUAUAUCGACGCCGCUAUAAUCUCUAUUAAGUUUGACAUAUACAGUUUGGGCGUGGUAAUCAUAAAGUUAAUGACAGGACCAAUGGGCUACUUUAGAAGUGCUGAAAUGUCGCCUGAACAAUUCAUAGAACUUGUACAUGCGAACUGGAAGAAAAGGCUACAAACAACAUCAAUUUACACAUUGCAGCAACAUUCUGAACAAGUAAAGAGAUGCAUCGAAAUAGCUUUAAGCUGUGUGGACGCCGAUCGACACAAAAGGCCAAGUAUAGGGGCAAUCAUUAAUAUGCUGAAUGAGACGGAAGGGAACAAACCAGGGAGCGUACAGAUGGUGAUCAAGAACAACAAAAUGGCCCCAUUGUUGGAGCAUAAGAAAAAGGUGAUGUUGCAGCUCGCCUGCAGUGACUACACCGGUGACUGGCCGGGUCUCGAUCUGGUGGCCGUCCUAGACAUCAGCUUCGGAAUGUUCAGCCCGAAGAUGGAGAAGGUCCAGACCGCCUUGCGGUUUAUCAUGCGGAAGCUCAGCCCCAUCGACCGCAUCUCCAUCAUCACAUUCUCAGGUUUUGUCAGAGAGUUAUGUUCACUUAGGCAGAUGACUGCAGCCUCGCAGCUGGACCUAGACGAGCUCAUUGAAAGUCUUGGCGACACCCAUGUCCAUGUAUACAGUGAAUCCAACAUUGAGAAUGCCCUCUUAGUCGGGGUCAAGGUCCUCGCCGAGCGCAAAGUCAGCAGCGGCCGCGUCGUAGCCAUCAUGCUCAUGUCCGCAUCCCCGUCGUCCUGGGUGGGCGAAUGCAGCUGGACUAACGUGCCUGUCUACACGUUUGGUUACGGCACAAACGUGAGCCCACGGGUGCUCAAUUCGAUCGCAAUUGCAAGCAUUGGGGGUAUGUUCUCCCACGUCCAGGACACUGACAGUGGCGACCUGACCAUUGCCUUCUCCCAGUGCCUCGCUGGCCUCCUUACCAUCUCAGUUCAGGACCUCGAGCUGAUGGUGGCAGCCGUCGGAGGCGGGUCAGUGAUAGUGAACGUGACCGCCGGGAGCUACAGGCGGAAGCAUGAUGCGUCUGGCCUGGUGACCAUAAGCUUUGGUGACCUCUACAGAAGGGAAGUGCGCAACGUCAUUGUUGAGCUUCACCUCCCAGCAACAGUGAGCGAGCGUGAUGCUGAUAUCCUCAAGGUCUCAUACUCAUACACCAGCAGCUCUUCAGCUGGAAGCCUGCAGUUUGUUGCCCCUCCUGAGACGCUGACCGUGUGGCGCGCCAACAUGGAUGAGUUGCCGUUGCCGAUGGAGCUACAUAUGGAGGAAGUCCGCCUGUUGAUGGCGAGAACCAUGAUGUGGCCCGUUGUGGAGGACGAGUUAAAGUCUCAGAACAUGUUAAAGGCGAUCCAGAGCAUGCUGGAGGACGUGGAGUUGGGCGAUCCACUGCUCAGAAUCGAGAUGCUUGAGCUCAUGGAGCUCUGUAAGACCGAAGAAACCUGCAUGGAGCACUGCCGCGCCUAUGCCUAUGCGUACUCGUCAGAGUCUUCUCACUACCGGCAGCGUUUCACGAUGAGGGGUCGCAACAUGGAGAUGCUGCGUCUCUUUGCAACACCACGCAUGGACAUGUACCUGGAGCAGGCUAAGAAGUUCCACGACGACCCGACGACACCGCUGCCAUCGGCGGACGACGACCUCGAGGAGGAGAUCGGUGCUCAUCCCAUCCAUGUUGCCAGCAGGGAAGAGGAGAUAAAGAGACUGAGCUUGGACGUGGAGGACCCGACGACAAUGGAUGCGGAGGACCCGACGAUACCACUGUCGUCUCAUUCGAGGGAGGCUUCUUCUAGGAGAAACGCCAAUUUUUUUAAUAUGUUCACAAGGCGACCAUUUUUUAGGUGAGUUCUUAUCACAAAUAUGCCACUGGAAACUGGCUAACUGAGUUUGAACAGCAAAUCUGACGAGCUGGAUCGACACGUGCGUAGCUCACAUGCAUGGAUGAGUCGGAAAGGGGACCGCCUGUCAGCAAUCUUUUUGUUUACCUUUCUCCUUCUUCCUCUGUCCUGUUCAAUGAAUCGCCUCGCCCAGGGGAUACCACGAAAGCAUCCACACCGGCGUGCAGAUCCAGCGGACCAUGUCCACCUCAGCAUGGUGUCUGCGUGAGCUAUGCCAUUCAUGUCACCUCUGGCGGGAGAACCCCACAACGCCGUUUUCCCUGUCAAACUGGUGGGCUUUUUAAAAAUAAUUUCAAAAAAGAAAAUAGUGGUGCUUUUAUCAUCAAUGUUGGCAGCAGGGAACAGGAGAGAAGAGAUUGAGCUUGGACAUGGAAGACUAAGUAAGCAGACAUUGACAACUCUCGAGCUUGUAUAUAACCUGCUGUUACCGAAUCUCAAGGUGCUAAACUAAUUAAGCUCUGCUUCAUUAUGUUUCUUCCUCGAGCUAUUGCUAAUCUGCUGUGAUCAUAUACUAGCGCCCUGUUUGGCUUCCGAGAUUUGAAUUUGAUUCAUUCAAAUUUUCCAUUGGGUACUUUUUCUCGGAUCUUCUGCUUGAUUUUUUGGGCCACGAUGAUGAAGUGCUUUUGGUCCAUUUCAGUGUUUCUCGAUUCUAUAUACAGUUACAGGGAGCAAAUAUACAUCUGUUACAAAACAUUCUUUGGGUAGAAAUACGACUCCUAGUUUUGAAAGGAUAUAAAUAUAUGUU